AAAUAGAUACCCCGGGUAGUCCACGCCGUAAACGAUGAGUGCUAAGUGUUAGAGGGUUUCCGCCCUUUAGUGCUGCAGCUAACGCAUUAAGCACUCCGCCUGGGGGAGUACGGCCGCAAGGCUGAAACUCAAAGGAAUUGACGGGGGGCCCGCACAAGCGGUGGAGCAUGUGGUUUAAUUCGAAGCAACGCGAAGAACCUUACCAGGUCUUGACAUCCUCUGCCAACCCUAGAGAUAGGGUGUUCCCCUUCGGGGGGACAGAGUGACAGGUGGUGCAUGGUUGUCGUCAGCUCGUGUCGUGAGAUGUUGGGUUAAGUCCCGCAACGAGCGCAGCCCUUGAUCUUAGUUGCCAGCAUUUAGUUGGGCACUCUAAGGUGACUGCCGGUGACAAACCGGAGGAAGGUGGGGAUGACGUCAAAUCAUCAUGCCCCUUAUGACCUGGGCUACACACGUGCUACAAUGGAUGGUACAAAGAGCUGCGAACCCGCGAGGGUAAGCCAAUCUCAUAAAACGCCAUUCUCAGUUCGGA
This 529-nucleotide ribosomal RNA is filed under the name uncultured bacterium. RNAcentral describes it as "bacterial SSU rRNA". It matches the Rfam family "Bacterial small subunit ribosomal RNA", at positions 776 to 1297 of the family's 1533-position model. The record is from RNAcentral.